GAUGAACGCUGGCGGCGUGCUUAACACAUGCAAGUCGAACGAUAAAGCCCAGCUUGCUGGGUGGCUUAGUGGCGAACGGGUGAGUAACACGUGAGUAACCUGCCCUUAACUCUGGGGUAAGCCUGGGAAACUGGGUCUAAUACACGAUAGGAGCGUCCACCCCAUGGUGGGUGUUGGAAAGAUUUAUCGGUUUUGGAUGGACUCGCGGCCUAUCAGCUUGUUGGUGGGGGAAUGGCUCACCAAGGCGGCGACGGGUAGGCCGCCUGUGAGGGGGACCGGGCCCCAUGGGACUGAGAGACGGCCCAGACUCCUACGGGAGGCAGCAGUGGGGAAUAUUGCACAAUGGGCGCAAGCCUGAUGCAGCGACGCCGCGUGCGGGAUGACGGCCUUCGGGUUGUAAACCUCUUUCAGUAGGGAAGAAGCGAGAGUGACGGUACCUGCAGAAGAAGCACCGGCUAACUACGUG
Molecule: ribosomal RNA, 466 nt
Filed under: uncultured bacterium
Lineage: Bacteria
Description: partial 16S ribosomal RNA
Rfam family: Bacterial small subunit ribosomal RNA
Source: RNAcentral